This 497-nucleotide ribosomal RNA is filed under the name uncultured bacterium. RNAcentral's name for it is "partial 16S ribosomal RNA". It matches the Rfam family "Bacterial small subunit ribosomal RNA", at positions 28 to 507 of the family's 1533-position model. The record is from RNAcentral.
GAUGAACGCUGGCGGCGUGCCUAAUACAUGCAAGUCGAGCGAACAGACGAGGAGCUUGCUCCUCUGACGUUAUCGGCGGACGGGUGAGUAACACGUGGAUAACCUACCUAUAAGACUGGGAUAACUUCGGGAAACCGGAGCUAAUACCGGAUAAUAUAUUGAACCGCAUGGUUCAAUAGUGAAAGACGGUUUUGCUGUCACUUAUAGAUGGAUCCGCGCCGCAUUAGCUAGUUGGUAAGGUAACGGCUUACCAAGGCAACGAUGCGUAGCCGACCUGAGAGGGAGAUCGGCCACACUGGAACUGAGACAGGGUCCAGACCCCUACGGGAGGGAGCAGUAGGGAAUCUUCCGCAAUGAGCGAAAGCCUGACGGAGAAACGCCGCGGGAGUGAUGAAGGUCUUCGGAUCGUAAAACUCUGUUAUUAGGGAAGAACAAAUGUGUAAGUAACUAUGCACGUCUUGACGGUACCUAAUCAGAAAGCCACGGCUAACUACGUG